This 253-nucleotide ribosomal RNA is filed under the name uncultured bacterium. RNAcentral describes it as "partial 16S ribosomal RNA". It matches the Rfam family "Bacterial small subunit ribosomal RNA", at positions 524 to 776 of the family's 1533-position model. The record is from RNAcentral.
UACGUAGGGUGCUAGCGUUGUCCGGAAUCAUUGGGCGUAAAGCGCGUGUAGGCGGUCCGGUAAGUCCGCUGUGAAAGUCGGGGGCUCAACCCUCGAAUGCCGGUGGAUACUGUCGGGCUAGAGUGCGGAAGAGGCGAGUGGAAUUCCUGGUGUAGCGGUGAAAUGCGCAGAUAUCAGGAGGAACACCAAUUGCGAAGGCAGCUCGCUGGGACGUUACUGACGCUGAGACGCGAAAGCGUGGGGAGCAAACAGG